Molecule: long non-coding RNA, 215 nt
Filed under: Elaeis guineensis (African oil palm)
Lineage: Eukaryota; Viridiplantae; Streptophyta; Magnoliopsida; Arecales; Arecaceae
Description: long non-coding RNA (EGUI_LNC058158)
Source: RNAcentral
ACCCUUGCAUGUAUAAACCACUCCUGGAAAACUGUCUAGAUAAGUGCUCUCGAGCCCUUAUACAUAUGUAAUACCUCCAUUGUUCCCUAAAAGUUUGUUUGACUUGGGCAUCGAAGGUCCUUCGCCGGACACUCUCUAGUAAGAGAAUUUCUUCAUCUUUGUGUUGUUUCAUAUUAGAUUAGCAUCAGUAUGAAAGUCUGAGCAUGGCCUCCACC